GACGAACGCUGGCGGCGUGCCUAAUACAUGCAAGUCGAGCGGACCAAAGGGAGCUUGCUCCUGGAGGUUAGCGGCGAACGGGUGAGUAACACGUGGGCAACCUGCCUGUAAGACUGGGAUAACAUCGAGAAAUCGGUGCUAAUACCGGAUAAUAAAAAGAACUGCAUGGUUCUUUUUUGAAAGAUGGUUUCGGCUAUCACUUACAGAUGGGCCCGCGGCGCAUUAGCUAGUUGGUGAGGUAACGGCUCACCAAGGCAACGAUGCGUAGCCGACCUGAGAGGGUGAUCGGCCACACUGGGACUGAGACACGGCCCAGACUCCUACGGGAGGCAGCAGUAGGGAAUCUUCCGCAAUGGACGAAAGUCUGACGGAGCAACGCGCGUGAGUGAUGAAGGUUUUCGGAUCGUAAAACUCUGUUGUUAGGGAAGAACAAGUGCCGUUCGAAAGGGCGGCACCUUGACGGUACCUAACGAGAAAGCCACGGCUAACUACGUGCCAGCAGCCGCGGUAAAGU
RNAcentral lists this ribosomal RNA (514 nucleotides) under uncultured bacterium. RNAcentral describes it as "bacterial SSU rRNA". It matches the Rfam family "Bacterial small subunit ribosomal RNA", at positions 28 to 526 of the family's 1533-position model. The record is from RNAcentral.